GCCCAGAUAGCUCAGUCGGUAGAGCGUUAGGCUUUUGACCUAACAGUUCAGGGUUCCCGCCCCUGUCCGGGCG
Molecule: transfer RNA, 73 nt
Filed under: Cordylochernes scorpioides
Lineage: Eukaryota; Metazoa; Arthropoda; Arachnida; Pseudoscorpiones; Chernetidae
Description: tRNA-Lys
Rfam family: tRNA
About the family: Transfer RNA (tRNA) molecules are approximately 80 nucleotides in length.
Source: RNAcentral